RNAcentral lists this ribosomal RNA (158 nucleotides) under Cordyceps cicadae. Its description in RNAcentral is "5.8S ribosomal RNA". It matches the Rfam family "5.8S ribosomal RNA". From Rfam's summary of the family: 5.8S ribosomal RNA (5.8S rRNA) is a component of the large subunit of the eukaryotic ribosome. It is transcribed by RNA polymerase I as part of the 45S precursor that also contains 18S and 28S rRNA. Lineage: Eukaryota; Fungi; Ascomycota; Sordariomycetes; Hypocreales; Cordycipitaceae. The record is from RNAcentral.
UCAAAACUUUCAACAACGGAUCUCUUGGUUCUGGCAUCGAUGAAGAACGCAGCGAAAUGCGAUACGUAAUGUGAAUUGCAGAAUUCCGUGAAUCAUCGAAUCUUUGAACGCACAUUGCGCCCGCCAGCAUUCUGGCGGGCAUGCCUGUUCGAGCGUCA